This is a non-coding RNA of Cephalotrichum gorgonifer, 72 nucleotides long. NCBI's taxonomy places the organism in Eukaryota, Fungi, Ascomycota, Sordariomycetes, Microascales, Microascaceae. The record is from the annotation of a GenBank genome assembly.
GCCCUUAUAGCUCAGUGGUAGAGCGCGUCACUAGUAAUGACGAGGUCGUAGGUUCGACUCCUACUGAGGGCA